GACGAACGCUGGCGGCGUGCUUAACACAUGCAAGUCGAACGAAGAGCGACGGAAGCUUGCUUCUAUCAAUCUUAGUGGCGAACGGGUGAGUAACGCGUAAUCAACCUGCCCUUCAGAGGGGGACAACAGUUGGAAACGACUGCUAAUACCGCAUACUAUCUAACCUCGGCAUCGAGGAUAGAUGAACGGUGGCCUCUACAUGUAAGCUAUCACUGAAGGAGGGGAUUGCGUCUGAUUAGCUAGAUGGAGGGGUAACGGCCCACCAAGGCGAUGAUCAGUAGCCGGUCUGGGAGGAUGAACGGCCACAUUGGGACUGAGACACGGCCCAGACUCAUACGGGAGGCAGCAGUGGGGAAUCUUCCGCAAUGGACGAAAGUCUGAGGGAGCAACGCCGAGGGAGUGAUGACGGCCUUCGGGUUGUAAAGCUCUGUUAAUCGGGACGAAAGGCCUUCUUGCGAAUAGUGAGAAGGAUUGACGGUACCGGAAUAGAAAGCAACGGCUAACUACGUG
RNAcentral lists this ribosomal RNA (510 nucleotides) under uncultured bacterium. Its description in RNAcentral is "partial 16S ribosomal RNA". It matches the Rfam family "Bacterial small subunit ribosomal RNA", at positions 28 to 507 of the family's 1533-position model. The record is from RNAcentral.